GACAGAUUGCUAGCCCCUUCCAGCCAGUCCUUCCUGCUGGGACAGAUUGCUAGCUAGUCUGCUCUUCUGAAGACACCAUAUGCUGAGGCAUCCCGGAUUUGCUGCACUCAGAGCAUUUGCUGGAAAUCCUUGCCAAACACCAGAAAGUGGAGACCAGACUUCCCUGGCUCAAGAAAUCCACAAGUCUGCAUAGCACCACGUGGUCUUCUGAAAACUAACCAGCAAGAGGAAACCCUCUGGCUGUCUAGCCUGACAGUAGAAUAAGAGGAAUCUUCAGGAACGAGGUCUUACAAUCCAGUUUUGUGGCAACCAAGAGCGACGGAGCAUCAUUAUCCAUAUUUGCAGGUGUGCUCUCCUCUAGUUCACCCUUACUCUGCACCACUGCGGACCCGCAGUACUUGGCCCCCGAGUGACAUCGGUUUGGAACUACUCUCUAUUCUGGCAGUCACCCUACAGCACACCAUGCCAGUUGCCAGUCACAGUCCCCUUUCACCUCUGCAUGAAUAAUAAGAACGAACGAAGGAAGAAGUUAACCAACCAACCAACCCAAUCGACUAAAACCCCUACACCACUGGGCAUCGCUCCUUUGCAUCCUCGCUGGGAAAAAGCAAUUUCACUCCAGCAAAGGUUACUCCUCCAUUCUCCUGUUCUGGGUCCAGGGUCCUGCCAUCUCUUUACUACCUCCCGGGCUGUGGGUCCCGCAUCCUAGCCACCGAUCCCACCACCUCCGGGUCGUCUCCC
This is a non-coding RNA of Rattus norvegicus (Norway rat), 741 nucleotides long. NCBI's taxonomy places the organism in Eukaryota, Metazoa, Chordata, Mammalia, Rodentia, Muridae. The record is from RefSeq and is a predicted model, not a curated record.